RNAcentral lists this unclassified non-coding RNA (208 nucleotides) under Hevea brasiliensis (rubber tree). The record is from RNAcentral. Lineage: Eukaryota; Viridiplantae; Streptophyta; Magnoliopsida; Malpighiales; Euphorbiaceae.
AAAGGGCUCUUAAAGUUCAAUGUUUUUAGAGGCAUUCUAUUGAUAAGAUUUGUUGUAGCAAGAACUGCAUCCCCCCAAUAAGGUGUAGGUAAAUUCAUAAUAAACAUAAGAGAUCGAGCCACCUCUAAUAAAUGUCUAUUUUCUCUUUCAGACAUCACAUAUUGUUCACUAGUCUUAACACAAUUAGUUUGACGCACUAUACCAUUUG